UAACUAAAGACUAAUAUAUAUAUGCAAUAAAAGAACGCACAACAAAUUGGUAACUCAAUUUGCAAUCUUUAACCGCUUUGUCUGAGGAAGAAAACUUUUGCUUUUCAAAUUUCACUAGACUAAAGAAAAAUCUAUAGCUUAUCAGUACAAAUUUUAUACAAGAGCGAAAAUACAAAACCAUUCUGAUACAUAAAAACCUAGACAAUUACAUUUGUUAUAUACAGUAUAAGGUAUCUAAAACUGACUUCAAUGCUUGCCACAUUGUCUUGUCUUAUAUGGGCAAUGUCAUAACUUUCGGCUCAUAUUCGAACUUUUUUUCUUUCCUCCUCAAAACAUGUCUCCGGUCCAAAAGACAACCAAAGAUUUACAUUCUCGUUCUUUAUAUUCUUGUCAAAAUCUUUGUUAUCAACCCAACUUCCUUAUUUUCCUCGAAACCUGAAUAUCAGUGUCUUCCUUCAGUGAUAGUCAUAUAUGGUGUUACCCUUUUCACCAUCUUCGUAUGAGAUUCUCCUAUAAUAAUCUUUUCUCAUGUGUUUUGUCCUAACUCUUUAGCUUCAUCCUAUACAUUUGAAAUUCUCAGCUCCUAUUGUGAGUAUCCUACCGUUUAGGAAUCUUCAUUUCUAGACCUUGAAGAUUAAUAUGUCCCAUUUCACACCUUCUCCAAUUGCUACUCUUGUGAGUGUCUUCCUAAUGUGUUACUAAUGUUCAGCUAUAAUUGCACAUUCUUUCAACUAUUUCCACUGCACAGACACAUCCUAAGAGAAAUACCUUAGCUGAAGAUGCUCAUGUCGAUUUUCCUUACCUUAACACUUUUCACUUGGUGUUAUUUUUUCCUGUUAAAUGAUCCAGUCGACAUAAAUUUUCUCGCUAUCAUGUAAUCUUUUAGGUAAGAACUUUGAGGCUCGCUCGCCCCUGCACAAACUUCUACUUAGGUUAACUCUUUUUAGUGAGUCCGCUGGAAUUACUAAAGUAUGUAUCUUACAUAGAGAUACUUUUGCAUCGUCAAUAACAUAUAAUCUAUUAAUUUAGGGUCAUAUUUUUAAUCUACUAUACAAAGGUUGUCAUUUAAAUCUGGAUUCUUUUAUAACUUUAGCUUUUUCUAUAGAUGCUUGCCCACCCUUAAUAAAUACUUAAUCUUAACCGAAAAAGUUUAAUGUAAACAGACAUUGACAUAAACCAAAAUUCAGUUAUGAUAUACAAAUAAUGAAUCUAUUCAUAUCACUUACUUUUAAACACACAUUUCAUCUAAUCUACACAUUCCUCGGCAAGAGUUUUCCAUCUGACUUUUCUUGUGAACAAGCUGGACCUAACCUAAGUCUCCAAUGCUUCUCUUCAGUUGAAUACAUGUAUUGUCACACACCAUAUAAUCAAUACUUCUCUCCAGUUGAUAAUCGGCACCUGUCAAACGCCAUAAUCAAAUUUCAUAUCCUACAAUCAUACUAACCCUUAAAAAAUUUAUUCAUACGUUUAGUUUAAUAAAAAUUGUCAUUUUUAUUUGAUAUAUUUCAAAUUCCAAAAUACUGUAUAUAUGAUAAAUUUUAGACUAAAAUCUCCAAGUUUGAAUAUUAUCUUAACCAAUUUCAAAAUAAUAUCCAAAUCUAGAAACUAAAUAGAUCUUUUGAAUCAUUAUAUGUCUAAAAAUAUUUAUUUAAAUUGUUUCCAAGGAAGAUAUCGUAACCAUAUAUUGCUCUACAACAAAAAAGGGAUAUGCCAUAGGAGAUUUUACAUACCUCAAUAUCGCUUGCUCAAAAACAAGAGCUGGGCUAAAUAUCCGAAUCCAAAAAUCCAAACCGAAUCCAAUCCGAUAAAGUAUUACCAAACUGGACUCGAAAUUGGUUAAAUAACCGAACGGAUCCAAAAUUUUGGUAUAUAGAGAACCGGAACGGGAUCCGAACAAAGGUAUUAUGGAUUCCUGAGUGUGUCCGAAAUAGAUUUAUAUAUCUAAAUAUUUUAAUUAUUUUUAGAUUUAAUAUAUAAAUAUCUAAAAUAGAAAAGAUAUUUUAAAAUUGACCAAAAUACUUGAAAUAUAUACAAAUGGUAAAAUUAAAUGUCUAAAAUUGCUAAACAAUACUCAAAACACCAAAAUAAUUGAAAUAUCUAUUGAUUCUCUAUCCAAAUAUUCAAGCUAAACCGAUUUAUUUGUUAAGUUUAGAUAUUUUGACAUACAUUAUUAAAAUUUAUAUUAUAUAAUAAAUUUUAAAAAUUUUAAAAUAAUUUAAACGGGUUAUCCAAACUCGAACCGAACCCGCAAAGAUAUGAACUGAACCCAACCCAAAUUUUAUAAAUACCGAAAUAGGGCUAAAAUCUGUAACCCCGAAAACCCAAAAUCCUAGUAGAUCCCAAACGAACCCGAAUGAGUAUCCGAACACCCACUCCUAUCAAAAACUAUAUAUCAAUAACAAACAAUAUUAUAGUUUUUAUGUAUUUCUAAUAAAUUUAAGACCA
Brassica rapa (field mustard) is the source of this 2445-nucleotide long non-coding RNA. RefSeq lists it as uncharacterized. NCBI's taxonomy places the organism in Eukaryota, Viridiplantae, Streptophyta, Magnoliopsida, Brassicales, Brassicaceae. The record is from RefSeq and is a predicted model, not a curated record.